UUUUGAGAAAAAGCAUCCAUUCGUGGAAGAUCCUAUCACUGGCCCAGUUGACACAGAGCUUUUUGAUAAAUACUUUGAGUGGAUUCGCAAGAGACUGCUUGUCAGGCAUGAAAAUAAAAAGAACAAUGAAGAUCGUUACAGAAAGAAGAUGGCAGCUUUUGAGAAUGAUGCAGAUUAUACUUAUAAUUUUGGUAUCACAGUAGUAGAGAACAAAAACUGGUUCUACCAGUCAUCAAUGAGUGGCCAGUUGUGGAAUGAUGAGCACAUUGACGUGAUUUUCUACUACUUGCGAAAGAAAGGCAAGUAUCACAGAAGGAGCACUUUCAAAUACAGAACAGUUGACUGUCUCUUCAUGCGAAAGGUUGAUUAAACGUAUCUUGCAUACAACAACCCGGAAACUGGACCCAAUGUAGCCAACCAAGAAGACGAUAUAUGUUAAUAUGUUAAGGGCUACAAAUUGCAUGCAAAUGUCCCGUGGCAUUAAGUUGACAAUAUUUUUAUACCUGUCAACAUCAAAGAGGAUAAUCAUUGGAUUUUGGUUGUACUCUCAUUCAAUGACAGGCGACUUUAUGUGUACAACUCAUACUGAGGCAGCGCAGGCCACAACGCAGUUGUUAGAAGGGAAGUACAAAAGCUUGCUGCCCUCCUGCCACAUUAUCUACACAUCAGUGGAUUCUACACUCAAAAAACUGGCAUAAAUUGGCAGAAUCACCCAGCAUAUACGGACAUGACACAGAAUGAGAACAUUCAAGUGGAGUAUGUAGAAAAUCUGCCGCAGCAAGACACUACCAGCAUGGAUUGUGGUGUGUACGUAGUAGCGUUCGCUGAAUAUCUAAGCACUGAUGAAGGUAU
Molecule: long non-coding RNA, 852 nt
Organism: Lycium ferocissimum
Lineage: Eukaryota; Viridiplantae; Streptophyta; Magnoliopsida; Solanales; Solanaceae
Exons: 5
Source: RefSeq, a predicted model, not a curated record